Molecule: ribosomal RNA, 253 nt
Filed under: uncultured bacterium
Lineage: Bacteria
Description: partial 16S ribosomal RNA
Rfam family: Bacterial small subunit ribosomal RNA
Source: RNAcentral
UACGGAGGGUGCAAGCGUUGUUCGGAAUUACUGGGCGUAAAGGGCGCGUAGGCGGCCUUCUAAGUCGAACGUGAAAUCCCCGGGCUCAACCCGGGAACUGCGUCCGAUACUGGAAGGCUUGAAUCCGGGAGAGGGAUGCGGAAUUCCAGGUGUAGCGGUGAAAUGCGUAGAUAUCUGGAGGAACACCGGCGGCGAAGGCGGCAUCCUGGACCGGCAUUGACGCUGAGGCGCGAAAGCCAGGGGAGCAAACGGG